Molecule: ribosomal RNA, 468 nt
Filed under: uncultured bacterium
Lineage: Bacteria
Description: partial 16S ribosomal RNA
Rfam family: Bacterial small subunit ribosomal RNA
Source: RNAcentral
GAUGAACGCUGGCGGCGUGCUUAACACAUGCAAGUCGAACGGAAAGGCCCUGCUUUUGUGGGGUGCUCGAGUGGCGAACGGGUGAGUAACACGUGAGUAACCUGCCCUGGACUUUGGGAUAACCUCAGGAAACUGGGGCUACUACCGGCUAGGAGCUCGUGCUGCAUGGUGGGGUUUGGACAUUUUCGGCGGGUGGGGAUCGACUGGCGGCUUACCAGCUUGUUGGUGGGGUAGCGGCUUACGACGGCUUUGGCGGGUAGCCGGCCUGGGAGGUGGACCGGCGACAUGGGGACUGAGAGACGGCCCAGACGCCAACGGGGGGCAGCAGGGGGGAAUAUGGCACAAUGGGGGGAAGCCUGAGGAAGCAACGCCCCGUGCGGAAUGACGGCCUUGGGGUGGUAAACCGCAUUCGCCUGUGACGAAGCUUGUGUGACGGUACUGGGAGAAGAAGCACCGGCUAACUACGUG